Molecule: long non-coding RNA, 6336 nt
Organism: Peromyscus californicus insignis
Lineage: Eukaryota; Metazoa; Chordata; Mammalia; Rodentia; Cricetidae
Exons: 2
Source: RefSeq, a predicted model, not a curated record
GGAGGGACAGAGACAGAGAAUGUGGGAGAAUAUCUGGCCUGGCUGAAGACUGUUUUCUGCCCCGCGGAGUUGUGGAUGGUACUGGGUCCAAGUUGUCGGUCCAGCGCGGCUGGCAGAGUUUACACUCAGUUUUGACUCUUCUAAUUGUUCUUAAUUUCAACAUUGGCUAUUUAUGAUCGCCAGUAGGAUUGUUGCUAUUUUUAAAGUCCUGGUUAAAUAAACACCAGUUAGAAAGUUUCUUUUUCAAAGAGACUCCAGUAUCCGAGAUAAACGCUUCUUUUGUCAAGAACAACUUCGAGGGAAACCUCUGCAUUUUAGUCUAAGCAUGCUUAGCGCUUUUUUUUUUUUUUUUAACACCGCUACUACCCCCUACCCCAUUGGUAUUAUAAAGCGAUUUAACAUCCCGGUAGCCUUUAUUUAGGAAAACUUCAGUAGCAUUAAAAAAUAUCAGUAAUAAGGUUUCUCCCUAAGCCUUUGCUUUGUCUCCAGACAAAUUGAUUAUUUCUAUAUUUUAAAGCAGUCGUUAAGGAAAUAAUGGCUUGAUUAGCUGGUGAUAAUUUGGGUUUUGGUAAAAAGAGAAAAGUGGAGACUCUGCUUUAUCCGGUGGCCAGUGCAGAAGCGGUUUUAACUUGGACCCUUUCUUCCUCUUUCACUGUGUAACUUCUUAUGCAUUUUGUCAAGUGCAUUAAGGCAGACAGGAGGACAGUCUGGUUAAAUGUAGGGGGCAGAAAGGAAGGGUAUUUUAAGAUAUUUUCAAAAAAGACACAAUUUUUAACGUGGGAGAUUUUUAGUUAAGAAGUGUGGGAUGGUUGAAAAUAGCACACUACUGAAGAACAUCUGUAUGGCUUUGAAAUACACUUUAUCUAAAAGGAGACACUGUUUCCUAGUAACUAAAAAAGGAUUUGUUACUCAGAUGCAUGCUAUUGGUGAAACUGUUAGUUUGCGUGUGAGUUUUAAAAUCCACCGCUGUGGUGCCUUGCACAGGAGAUCAAGCUGGAGUUGAUUCAGGGUAUCUCUCCUGAUUGCUGUGAUGACUUCAAAGGAUUGUGAUUAUCAACAGCUUGUGGGUGUUUUAUUAAUACAGCUGCAGAGGUUCUUCCAGUUAAGGAUAGCCUCUGUUUUCCAUCCUUGAUUUCCCUGUUUGGUGGAAGCCAUCCCACAGAAGCGAGGCGGCCACACUUUCUCUUUUCCGUCUGUGUGGACACCUUGUUUUCAGAGCUCCGCACUCCACACCCUGGUUGUGGAUUAAUUUACUCUCCCACAUUUGAGGUAAAGGGAAAUAGGUGGGGUAGCCCCAGAGACAAACAAGAGAUGGGGGUCACAGGCGCUGCGCACACCUCAGUCAACAGUCAGCUCCUCCUGCCAGGCUGGAAAUGGUUUUAACAGGCGGUAAAAUUUCAUCUUGCGGUGUCAAAUUGGGGUCAUUUUGGGGUUAGAGUUCUCAGUGUCCGUGAGGAGCUGUCCAGCUGUGUGGGGACUCAUUAACUGCAAAAGAUCUGUUUCAGUAAAAACAAUUCAAAGACAAUCAGAAGGCUAAAGACUCUCUACAAAUCGCAUUUUACAAGUGCCCCAGAACAAAUAUGGUUGGUAAAACCUAUUUCUUCACAAUCCCAAAUCAGCUACUUAGCUCUGGAGUGGGGGGUGGGAACACUGAAUUAAAAAGGAGGUGAAAGGGGGGAGUACCAAAGGGGGCUGAAGAAGGAGAAUUGGGCCUCUCAAAUUUAAGAGUCUGUUUUUAAUCACCCCUUUCUUAUUGAAGCAUCCCCUAGACUUCUGAAAAGCACUUCUUUCUAUUUCUCCUUUUCUUCUUUUGAUCCCUUGUGGAAUGUUACUAUAGGUAACAUUAAGGAUUUCAAAGAAUAAUGUAAGCCCCUAGUUCUGUAGUCCAAUGGCAUUGGCUUUUGGGAGGGGAGUUCAUUUGAAGUAGCAUUUAUAAACUGGAACUUUAUUUUAGCUGAACUUGUUCAGGCUUCUUGAGGUGGUAUAUGUGGCUGUUCUUUUUAUAUGUCCCCUCCCCUCACCAAUUUCCAGAUCCUCUGCACAGAUAAUUCCAAAUUCCUCAGAACUGUGAGGUCCUGAAGUGUUAAUCUGUGUAUUAAAAUCACCAGAUUUAAAUCCCUUUUGUCUUCUUUACAACAGUUAGAACAAUUGAUGCUUUACUACAAGAGCAAGUAAAUCCAGCCUUAAUCUUGUUUGCAACUUUAGUUAAUGUUUUGAUUUGGAAUAUUUUGUAUCAAGGGGACUUUUAUGUAAGAAAAAAACUGAGAUUAUGUUUGAUUUGGGGAGGCUCUGUUCCUCAAUUUGAAGAAAGAUAACUUACUCCUUUGACUUAAGAGGGAUUUCAUUGGGUCAAAGGAGAGUUCAGGGUUAAAAUAGGAGGCUAAACAUGAGAAAUGCUAGGAUUUUUUUGACAAAACAAAGUUGAUAUUUAAAAGUAAAGUAUCAUUUUAAAGGAUAUUUAUUUCCUUGGAUUACUGAACCUAGCAAGCCAAAAAAAAAAAAAAAAAAAAAAAUCCUCAAAACACACCAUCCAUUGGCUCUUUCUCUUCCGUACAACACCUCUGUUCCCAGGCUUUCUAUUCCAUCCACACUUCUUUCCUUCCUUCGGGUUCUAAAGGAGGGUGAGUUUUUGAAGUCUUCCUUUCUCCAGGCUUCCCAGGGUGUUUGCAGACUGUCCUCCAUGGAUUCUGUGGCCCUGCAGAAACAGCCCUGAGCCUGUUAGGGGGACAAAGGCAAAGGGGUUGUCUUCUGCCUUAGUCCUGCCGACUGACGGUGGGAAUUUUUUAUAUUAUAUUUUAUUUGGUAUUUCUAAUAACGUGUUGGCCCCACCGCUCCACCCUUUGAAGCUCCUUAUUACUGUUACACCACCUCUUCUUAAACCUCCGUUCUUCCUUGUGAACUGUUUUUGACCUUCUCAGCAGUAUAACCGAAAAGUUUAGAGUAGAAAGAAUUCUGCUCACUUCCUUACCUGUUACCUUGGUUCAUGUUCUUUCUAGUCGGUGUCCUCAGAGGGAAGGAGUCCCUGUUCCCUGUCCCCUGUCCCCACCACCACCUUAUUGAUUUUUGCUUUUGUUUUGUGUUUAUUUUUAUUUAUUUUUUGCGCUUUUACGCCUUGGUGUUCUAUUAUAGACUUUUCUCCCUGAAAAUAAUACUAUUAAAGCAACCUACAGUUUUUAAAAAUAGGAUGGGGUAGAAUUGCUGCAUUUUGCUGUUUCCCUGUCUAAUUUCUUCCAAUUUUAGCUGUUUCCCUGUGUCGCGGGAAGAGCGAGUUUCAAUAAAUAGCCCUCUAGCGCUAUCUGGCGGGGCUCCAAACGCGCCGAGCACUACGAGCACUACGGCGCUGUCAGUUUCUCCUUCCCGCGCCCUUCUCCUUUCCUCUUUCUCUUGUCUAUACUGCUCUCUGUACCCUAUUUACAGUUCCUUCUUUGCCUCUUCUGUCCUUUUUCUAGUCUCUAUUACAGUAUCCAGUGCAGACAGCGGACCCCGCACCGGCCAGCUCCUUAGCCCUUGCAACUCCAUGGCAGUCCGGCCACUCUGAUCUUGCAGGCUUUCCAGUCCCGAUCCAGCGUGGCUCACGCCCAUCUUCUCCCAUUAAUGAGCACCUUAGCGUUGUUAAACGCCUUGACAAGUCCCACAGUCUUCGCGGGCCGUGUUUUGAAGUGACUUAAGCCUACAAUUGGGAAGUUUGCUGGAAAGAAACAAGACACUGGGAUUCCCCGCUCGCUCGCACAGCCGGGUUAGCACUGCGGGGCUAAGUUUGAAGUCUGAAGCCUGGGGCGCCCGGUGCCAGUGGAAGGAGGCUUCUCAGGGACGUGACAGCACGGCAGGGGACCAAGCCUUUGCCUGAGGAGUGGGACUUCGGUGGAACACGUGCCCUCUUCACCCCAGUAUCUAUCUUUCCAAGGGACUGCCUCAGUCUGCAGUCUGCAUCCAUCUAAGGGGCCUGCCCAUUUCCUCCUCCCCAGUUAACCAGUUUUAUUGCCAGAAUCCCCACCAAACACCUGCACAGUCUAGAGAGAAGUGUCAAAGUGGGAGUAGGAAAGCCCCCCAGGAAAACCCACAGAGCAGAGCGAGCCAACACACACCGUGCGAGGAAGCCAGUGGUGCUUAAACCUGAGUCGCGUGCAUCUUUCGGUAGCCUGUAAACACUGCGGUGUGAGCAGGGUUAGGGGAGACAGAGACCAAGGUAGACGCUCAAACCUGCCAGGUGCCGGAUCACAGGGCUGCUACUACGUUCAUCCACAUUCUCCGUUUCUUUUCCUCUCCCCUCUCCCUCUUGCUCCCUCCCUUCUUUCUGUGUCCCUCAUCCUCCCUCUCAUCCUUUCCUCCCUCCCUUCCCCUGACACUCGGCCUGAGAGAAACCUCCAAUCUUUGCUUUAAGCAAGCGUCUUCCACUUACUCCUCCAAACGCUGGGACACGGGCGGGGGGGGGGGGGCGGGGGGGUGAGUUAUGAAUGUGUUUCCUAAGAGCCAGUUCUUGCUUUGAAGUAGAAGGAGGCCACAUCCCCUGACGUACCUAGAAGGUGGCUAGUACAGGUGUUAGAAACUUUGCCAUUGUAAGUAUUCUGAACCAAAGAGUCUCAAAUCUUGACCCCUCUCUAUAAAAAAAAAAAAUGGCAAAAUGGAAUGGAAAAGAGCAGGGAGGGUGAAGAUUUUCUCCCGCUCCCACUGCUGAGGGAAGGAGGCACAGUUUGGGUGUAAUUAAUUGAAGAUUGUUAUUAGGUCAUCAUUAGUCAACGUGCAAAUAAUUGCUGCCCAUUUUUACUUAAAAUUGACCAGCCUGAGUGUGAUAGAUCGAUUCAGAGGAUAAAAAUGAUGUAUCAAAACAUCAAUGUCGAUUAUCUGAAAUAUUGUAGUCGAAUUUUUUUCUUAUUGCUUCAUCGGUUAAGUGUCUGAAAGUGCGGUGUUCAAACAUAUAUUUAUGUUGUCAAUACUGUCAGAACUGUCAGUUUUACUAUACCGGAUUUGUACUACAUUUCAAAUUUGAUCAUUUGCAUAAAAUGCCCACCCUAGGAUUCCCCUCACUCCCACCCCAUCUCUGGAAAAUCUCUGUCAGUUCCUUCAAAGGAUUCUGCAAUCUUUGCCUAAGCUGAGGUGGGCACUGCUUCUGUUGCUCAAAUUUCCAGGGCAGAUUAUAUGUCUUUUUCACCAUUUCUAACUUUGGAAGAGGCACUCCCUCCUUUUUGCCCAACUAUGCCUAACAUAACCUUUUCUCCAAGACAGUAUUGGAGCAAUGCACACACCGCAUUCUAGCUACAAAAUACAGCACUUGGGUAGGACAGCCGUGUGAUACAGAUUCCACCCGACCUUCUUGGCCACCCUCAGGUAAACCCUUAAAUUACCGGAAAGAUUGAAGUCUUCCCAGGAAAAUGAAUGUAGGAGUAAAAAUACCGUUUUUUCUUUCCUUUUUUUUACUUAAAAGCUGGCGAUGGUAGGAGAGGAAAUAACACACAUAAGUGAUCUGCACGUUUUACCUUUAAAAGCUUUUGAACUCCAUCGAAAGACACAGGUUGUGAGCAGAACUGACAGUUUUAAUUCUACCCAUUUUCACGUAGCACGUCAGAUCAGAGGCACUCAUUUAUUUUAUGGGGUGGGGCAUUAGAAAAAGCAGAUAGGGUGAAUUCGAUUAUCUCUAUCCUAAAAAUCCCAGAGAAAUUAAACUCUCAUAUUGAAACGCAAACAUUUCAUUGCUCUGUACAAUUAGUCUAGACUAAUUGAAAUUUAUAAAUUCACAUUCUCUCUAAUCGUGUGCUUUUCAUCCUCCCUACCCCCACCCCCAGGAUUCCAGCGAAGUCUGGUAGGUAAGGAUGUGAUGUUGUUUUAGUAAACCUAAAGCACUUUCAUUUUCUUUUUAAUGUAUUUAAAUAGGUCUGUUUGGACAUUCAAAGAAGCUACACAUACAAAGAUGGUUUAAAAAAUCUGAGCGUCCCUAUACUCAUCCUUGCCUCGAAUAAUAAUGUUGCUUGAAGAAAUUCAUCGGCCUUCUCCAGAUACUUCCAGGUUUGCUGUAAUGAUCUGCAGAAGAGAACUGCCACCCCUUUCUCACAUCCCAAGGUGUUGGCGGAACUGGAGCGAGGCGGAGAGAGGCUGCAGUGCGUAAUUGCAGAGGGGAGGGCGGGCGGGGUGCCUCCUGGGAUCCAGGGCAGGGGUUGGGGAGGUAAGAUGCAACCCAGGAAAGGUCUUUCUGGACGCUGGAGUCGCCAGUUGGAGAAUAUUUGGACAAGGUAUGAUUGCCUUAUCCCCCCCCUCCUCCCCGUCUCUAUCCCGAUGCCUUUGGGGAGAAGAGAUACCCUUGUGUAACAAUUAGCUCAGACAAUAAAAAUAAUUGGAAAAUCA